UAUUGGACAAUGGGCGAAAGCCUGAUCCAGCCAUGCCGCGUGAGUGAUGAAGGCCCUAGGGUUGUAAAGCUCUUUCACCGGUGAAGAUAAUGACGGUAACCGGAGAAGGAGCCCCGGCUAACUUCGUGCCAGCAGCCGCGGUAAUACGAAGGGGGCUAGCGUUGUUCGGAAUUACUGGGCGUAAAGCGCACGUAGGCGGAUUGUUAAGUUAGGGGUGAAAUCCCGGGGCUCAACCCCGGAACUGCCUUUAAUACUGGGUAUCUCGAGUUCGAGAGAGGUGAGUGGAAUUCCGAGUGUAGAGGUGAAAUUCGUAGAUAUUCGGAGGAACACCAGUGGCGAAGGCGGCUCACUGGCUCGAUACUGACGCUGAGGUGCGAAAGCGUGGGGAGCAAACAGG
RNAcentral lists this ribosomal RNA (397 nucleotides) under uncultured bacterium. RNAcentral's name for it is "bacterial SSU rRNA". It matches the Rfam family "Bacterial small subunit ribosomal RNA", at positions 362 to 776 of the family's 1533-position model. The record is from RNAcentral.